UUCCAUAGAGGCUUUGCAAGUGUGGCUGCUUUGUCACAUGUGUGUAAGUAGGUGGUCCAAAGGAGAGGGACUAUGUUGAUAUGCAGGGUUCUGACCUGUGAAUAUCUGAAUGACUAGUAGCUAAGCACU
Mastomys coucha (southern multimammate mouse) is the source of this 129-nucleotide small nucleolar RNA. RefSeq annotates it as small nucleolar RNA SNORA17. NCBI's taxonomy places the organism in Eukaryota, Metazoa, Chordata, Mammalia, Rodentia, Muridae. The transcript has a single exon. The record is from RefSeq and is a predicted model, not a curated record.